UACUAGAGUAGCACUCGCAUAUCAAUAAGCGGAGGAAAAGAAACUAACUAGGAUUCCCUCAGUAACGGCGAGUGAAGCGGGAAGAGCUCAAAUUUGAAAUCUUCAAGGUUCUACCUUGAUGAAUUGUAGUUUAAAGAAGUGUUUUCUGUUGGAGUUUUGGUAAAAGUUCUUUGGAAUAGGACAUCAUAGAGGGUGAGAAUCCCGUAUUUGACCAUUAUUUCAACUGUGUGAUACACUUUCAAAGAGUCGGAUUGUUUGGGAAUGCAGUCCAAAAUGGGUGGUAAAUUUCAUCUAAAGCUAAAUAUUGGCGAGAGACCGAUAGCGAACAAGUACCGUGAGGGAAAGAUGAAAAGAACUUUGAAAAGAGAGUUAAACAGUACGUGAAAUUGUCAAAAGGGAAGCGUUUGACACCAGUGUUGUUUAGUUGAAAAUCAAUUCAAUAAUUUUUGAUUUUAAGUAGUAUUGACUUCAUCAGCUUGCUGCUUUCUUUUCGAAAAUUAUUGAAUGCACUUUUCAGUUAACAAGUCAACAUCAAUUUCUUUUGUUGUAAAAGGGUAAGAGGAAGGUGGCUUACGCUUCGGCGUAAGUGUUUAUAGCCUUUUACCUCUGCAAUCGGAGAGAUUGAGGUCAGCAGCGUAGACUCCUUCGGGGGUUAGAUACACUUGUGCUAAGCUAUAGCCUUGUAUAGACAACUUGUUGACUAUGCUCAGUCAUGUAGCUUACUCGCAUGUGCUAUUUUACCUACGCUUAGGAUGUUGAAGAUAUGCGCGACACG
RNAcentral lists this ribosomal RNA (775 nucleotides) under uncultured Neocallimastigales. RNAcentral describes it as "partial large subunit ribosomal RNA". It matches the Rfam family "Eukaryotic large subunit ribosomal RNA", at positions 20 to 644 of the family's 3401-position model. The record is from RNAcentral. Lineage: Eukaryota; Fungi; Neocallimastigomycota; Neocallimastigomycetes; Neocallimastigales.